Molecule: unclassified non-coding RNA, 2823 nt
Filed under: Leishmania donovani
Lineage: Eukaryota; Euglenozoa; Kinetoplastea; Trypanosomatida; Trypanosomatidae
Description: gene:LdHU3.25.1460(CDS-product:DNAj-like_protein)
Source: RNAcentral
CAGGCCCUGAACACACACACACACAUAAAGGUACGCACAGACGCACACAUAGACAGCUUGCCGCACCCCUCGCACCCCCUCUUCUCCUCACUAUCCACUGUGGCUGCGUCUUCUGUGAUACCCCCUCACUCCCCUCUCCCUCUGUCUCCCGCUGCCCUUCUGGGCGCCCACCGUGCACACUCGAACACAGCGGCAGUCGUGGGGGUGUGGGGUGCACAUAGGUGACCCUCAAGAGCACAUAACAUAUUCUUUUCCUCCCUCCCGAACAGACGCACUCAUCCGCCUCUAACGUGCUCAGCGCCUUGUGUGGAAGUACGACGACGACGACAGGACGACUGAGGUAGCUUGGCGGAAAAUCGUUGCCAGCUCCUUUCCUCGCCGUCCCCUCUCCCCUCUCCCCCUUCCCCUCUCCCCCCUUCCCCGGGCGCAUCUCUUCUCUUUGCCACGCGCUCUUCAUCGUUCCUUCCGUGCUCGUGCUCUUUCCCUUUCCCUGGACUCAUCCCUUUCGUUUUCUUGCGUGGACGGAAUCCCCUCAUACGAUGCGAGACCGGCACAUAACACGGGUGGUGGCGGCGUUGCUGGUCCUGGUGUGGGUGGCGGCCUUCGUUGCGGAGGUGCCGGUGCACAUGGCGGGUGCUGCCGAUCCGCGUGACGAGGACGCGAAGGCCGUCGAUGCCGUGCUACGACUGCCGGAGGACGACUUCUACGCCGUGCUCGGCCUUGAUGAGGCACGGGAGGAUGCCACCGAGCGCGAUAUCAAGAAUGCCUUUCGGCGGCUUUCAAAGAAAUACCACCCCGAUGUCGCCACUGGCGAUCAGGACUCGUACCGCCUCGUGUACCAGCGAGUGCAGCGCGCAUACGAGAUCCUCGGUGACCGCCGCAAGCGCAAAAUCUACGACAUUCUCGGCAUCGAUGGUGUGACGAGGCUGGAGAAACCGCAGCAGCAGCAGCAGCAGAUGAACCCCUUCUUCGCCUUUUUCGGUGUUGGCCAGCAGGCCGACGCGGAACGCGGUAAGGACAUGGAGCUGCUGAUGGUGGUGCCGCUCGAGGACAUCUACCGCGGCGCUGCCCACACGUCCAGGUUUGCCAAGCGCAAGAUAUGCCGUGCGUGCAAGGGCACCGGCGCGCGCAGCGGCGAGGACGUGGUGAAGUGUCCACACUGCCAGGGCCGCGGCCGCCUGGCGCAGCGAGUGCAGAUUGCACCCGGCUUUGUGCAGCAGAUGGAGCAGGUCUGCCCGCACUGCCAGGGCAAGGGCACGCAUGUGGCGCACAUGUGCCCGGUGUGCCGUGGCAAGAUGGUGCUCCCUGGAGAGGCGGUGCUGAGCGUGGACAUCGAGGAGGGUUUACCGGAAGGGCACGUGCUGACGUACGAGUUAGAGGCGGACCAGGCACCUGGCCAGGUGCCCGGCGACGUGCUGCUGACGGUGGUCAGCGCGCCGCAUCCGGUGUUCCAUCGCAGUGGCAACGACCUCUACGCAAACGUGAGCAUCACGCUGAAGGAGGCGCUGCUAGGCUUCAAAAAAACCUUCACACACCUGGAUGGACACAAUGUGGAGCUGCACUGGGACGGUGUAAUGCAGAACACGCAGCAGGUACGCAUAGCAGGGGAAGGCAUGCCGCGGCAUCACGUGCCAUCUGAGCGGGGCGACCUCUACAUCACUUAUAACGUGCUGCUGCCCGCAGCGUUGACGGCGGAGCAGCGUGCGCUCUUCCAGGAGCACUUCGCCUAGCGGGUGUGUGCGUUUGUCUGGUGAGGAAGGCGCGAAGAGACCCCGUGUUCUUGCUGACGUGGAAGAGGGAUGCAGGAUGAUGUGUGGUGGUGAUGGUGGUUGGGAGCGGCUUUAAACAUCAGUGCGGCCAGCGGCAUGCAGCGCGUUCUACGGGGGUUCCUCUCUGUUUUCUGUCGUCGCGUUAUAUAUAUAUAUAUAUAUAUAUAGAUACAUCUGUAUAUUGGCUUUGCCACUACGGUUGUGCGGCUGCCGAGUCCCUUCUGUUCGCUCCCCCUCCCUUCCCCUCCCCUCCCCUCCUUCUCUGUUGCCGUCGCUGCUGUUGUUGCGUUGAUGGUGAUUGCAUCAUUAUCGUUGUCGGUGGCGUCGUUGUCGCGAACUUUAGUGUGCAUGACGCACACGCGCACGUGCGCAGGCGUGCACUCGUCGUGUUUUCUUUCAUUUUGUGGGCUUCCUUUGUUCCGUCUCGUCCCUGUGUUCUUUGUUGUUGCUCUCAUCCGGCUGUGUGGCCCGUGUGGGCGUGCGUGCGGCGCUCUCCUCGUGCUGCUAUGGCGGUACUCGAGAGCAGGCAUGCGAGAGGACGCGGCGGCGCCUCGCCUCGCCGCCGCCGCCGCACUGCCAUUCCGAUGCAUCUCUCUUAGCUUUCUUCACCUAUGUGCGUAUGUGUCUGUUUUUUAGCAGAGCAGUAGGGGUGGGGUGAUGCGCAGCCGGCGGCUGCCGCCGCACGUGGGGAUUGGAGACGACCGUCUGGUCUGCAGACGCCAACCAGCAUCCUGCCAUGAGUAAACCGGCGGCAAACAGCUCCCCGCGUCUCCUCGCCAGCCGCUCCGCCUACCACCGCUCUUCUUCCGCACACGUUCGUUCUCCAUCUCGUUCCCUUGUACGUGAUGUGCACGCUUACACACGCGGCUCCGCAACAGCGCUCGGCGGAUGCGGAUGCUCAGGCACGGGUUCGACAGAUGAAAGCGGGGGCACCGUUGCAACGACGAGCCGAGAAAACAACAUGGACCGUGUUGUGCGGAUGUACUCCAGUAAUGCAUACAUACCGCUUGAAUGUGGCGGCAGUGGCGAUACAUCGCUUGAGUAGCGAAGUACG